UUGAGGGGAAGAAAGGGAAUAAAAAUGGAAGAGUAAAUAGAGAGGGAACUUUACCAAGCUGGCACCUUUCAGCUCCGAUAAAUAUUUAACAGCCUGCAUCCUCAUGCCUGUUAUGAAAUCUAAGGCAUUAGCUCCUUGCAACUUCAAAACUCACCCUCUUCCCUGAGAGAAUUUCAGCCUUCAGCUGUUGCCAAGGGAAUUCCCAAACCAAGAGGACAGCAGGUGGAAAUAUCGUUGGCAAAAUCUCAACCAUUACUACCUGGGCAAGAGAAUUCGCCGCUUCACGAGCUGGUGACCUCUCACCCUUGAGGGGUCACCCAUGCCGCCAACCCAGGAACAGUUCUCAACAGCGCCUGCUUGAGCCCCGAGACGGAGAUGUGACCCCAAGUGGAGCGGCCCCUCCUCUGCUCCCCGGCCUCCUUCCCGACGCCUCCUGGCUGGGACCGAGUUUCCUGACCAGAGUGGCUCCCUGGGCCUUGGCUGACUGAUGGCUGUAAUGCUGCUUGCAAUAAAAG
Trachemys scripta elegans is the source of this 515-nucleotide long non-coding RNA. RefSeq lists it as uncharacterized. The transcript has 3 exons. The record is from RefSeq and is a predicted model, not a curated record. Lineage: Eukaryota; Metazoa; Chordata; Testudines; Emydidae.